GGCUGGUCCGAGUGCAAUGGUGUUUAUUACUAACUGAUCACAACCGAUUACAGAUUUCUUUGUACUUUCUCCACUCCCAUUACUUCACUUGACUAGCCUAAA
RNAcentral lists this Y RNA (102 nucleotides) under Propithecus coquereli (Coquerel's sifaka). RNAcentral's name for it is "Y RNA (ENSPCOG00000002703.1)". It matches the Rfam family "Y RNA". Rfam says of the family: Y RNAs are components of the Ro ribonucleoprotein particle (Ro RNP), in association with Ro60 and La proteins. The Y RNAs and Ro60 and La proteins are well conserved, but the function of the Ro RNP is not known. In humans the RNA component can be one of four small RNAs -- hY1, hY3, hY4 and hY5. Lineage: Eukaryota; Metazoa; Chordata; Mammalia; Primates; Indriidae. The record is from Rfam by way of RNAcentral.